GCCCAGCUAGCUCAGUCAGUAGAGCAUGAGACUCUUAAUCUCAGGGUCAUGGGCUAAUGCCCCACAUUGGACA
This 73-nucleotide transfer RNA is filed under the name Cricetulus griseus (Chinese hamster). It matches the Rfam family "tRNA". From Rfam's summary of the family: Transfer RNA (tRNA) molecules are approximately 80 nucleotides in length. Their secondary structure includes four short double-helical elements and three loops (D, anti-codon, and T loops). Further hydrogen bonds mediate the characteristic L-shaped molecular structure. tRNAs have two regions of fundamental functional importance: the anti-codon, which is responsible for specific mRNA codon recognition, and the 3' end, to which the tRNAs corresponding amino acid is attached (by aminoacyl-tRNA synthetases). tRNAs cope with the degeneracy of the genetic code in two manners: having more than one tRNA (with a specific anti-codon) for a particular amino acid; and 'wobble' base-pairing, i.e. permitting non-standard base-pairing at the 3rd anti-codon position. Lineage: Eukaryota; Metazoa; Chordata; Mammalia; Rodentia; Cricetidae. The record is from Rfam by way of RNAcentral.